AUACGGAGGAUGCAAGCGUUAUCCGGAUUUAUUGGGUUUAAAGGGUGCGUAGGCGGUUUGCUAAGCGGGAGGUGAAAUGCCGGCGCUCAACGUCGGAAGUGCCUCCCGAACUGGUGGACUGGAAUGACUCUGCCGUGGGAGGAAUGUGUAGUGUAGCGGUGAAAUGCUUAGAGAUUACACAGAACACCGAUUGCGAAGGCAUCUCACGAAGGGUUGAUUGACGCUGAGGCACGAAAGCGUGGGGAUCAAACAGGAUUAGAUACCCUGGUAGUCCACGCAGUAAACGAUGAUGGCUAACCGCUGGUUUUUUCGGAUCAGUGGCCAAGCGAAAGCGAUAAGCCAUCCACCUGGGGAGUACGACCGCAAGGUUGAAACUUAAAGGAAUUGACGGGG
Molecule: ribosomal RNA, 393 nt
Filed under: uncultured bacterium
Lineage: Bacteria
Description: partial 16S ribosomal RNA
Rfam family: Bacterial small subunit ribosomal RNA
Source: RNAcentral